Molecule: long non-coding RNA, 319 nt
Organism: Saccostrea cuccullata (small rock oyster)
Lineage: Eukaryota; Metazoa; Mollusca; Bivalvia; Ostreida; Ostreidae
Exons: 3
Source: RefSeq, a predicted model, not a curated record
UUCCUUCCCUACAAUACUAUGCCACUGGGAGACUCGUCCAGACAAUGGACUUGCCUAUUUUUUUGGAGAUGAAGAAGUAACCUGGUCUGAGGCAGAAAAGCGAUGUAAUAAUUUCGGGGGAUCAGUAGCGAUGGCACGCUUUGAUGAAGAUCAGAACUUCCUCGUUAAGAACAUUAAAUCUGGAAAGUAUUACAUAGGAGGUAGGAGAUCCGACAGCGGAAAUUUUGCAUGGUUAGACGGGACCCCUAUCAAUCAUGAGGAUCCACGCUGGGACUCAGGUGAACCAAACAACCACAAAGGAAACAACGAAAAUUGCAUG